This 605-nucleotide long non-coding RNA is filed under the name Homo sapiens (human). Its description in RNAcentral is "HSALNT0280019". The record is from RNAcentral. Lineage: Eukaryota; Metazoa; Chordata; Mammalia; Primates; Hominidae.
AAUGCCCAGGAAAAUUUAUUCUCUCUGUGCAUGAGGUGGCACUGUUUGCAGAAGGGUACCGCUGUUUAUAACAGAUGUUAGAAAAACAGGUUCACGAUGGCAGCCAACAGAGCAAGGCAGUAUUUUCCAAAGUGUACAUUGCCCACCUGGUUUUUUGUUUGUUUGCUUGCAUGUUUGCCUAAUAGCUCAAUUCUUACAAGCUCCUUUUCUGCUCAAGCAUCUUUAACUUUCCUCAAUAUUGCUAAUUGCCCACCAAAGAAAAGAUCGAUUACAUAUUUCUAUCAACACACGGCAUUACCACUGUUUGCAAAUGGAAGUGCAUUCCUUUGUGAUAUUUUGUAAUCCCUUGACUCUCAGUGACACCAGACUUUUUGUGAUUACUAUCCAUUUGGGUUUUGUCUUCAAUACAUUUUAUUCCAUAUAAUUUGCCCAUCUUUAAAUGUCUUGAGGAUUUUUUAAAUUACUAAUUUGUUGGGUAUAAAUAUGUGUAUAUCAUCUAGAAACUAUCCAAGUCAAUAAAUUGAAGUUACACAUGUGCUCUUCUGUUCUGUAUCUUAAUUUUUACCUUAUUUAUGAUGCUUUCCAUUGUGCAAAAGGAAAUAGUG